UACGAAGGGGGGCUAGCGUUGCUCGGAAUCACUGGGCGUAAAGGGCGCGUAGGCGGACUUUUUAAGUCAGGGGGUGAAAUCCUGAGGCUCAACCUCAGAACUGCCUUUGAUACUGAGGGUCUCGAGACCGGUAGAGGUAAGUGGAAACUGCGAGUGUAGAGGUGAAAUUCGUAGAUAUUCGCAAGAACACCAGUGGCGAAGGCGGCUCACUGGCCCGGUACUGACGCUGAGGGUGCGAAAAGCGUGGGGGAGCAAACAGG
RNAcentral lists this ribosomal RNA (260 nucleotides) under uncultured bacterium. Its description in RNAcentral is "partial 16S ribosomal RNA". It matches the Rfam family "Bacterial small subunit ribosomal RNA", at positions 524 to 776 of the family's 1533-position model. The record is from RNAcentral.